Molecule: long non-coding RNA, 884 nt
Filed under: Oryza brachyantha (malo sina)
Lineage: Eukaryota; Viridiplantae; Streptophyta; Magnoliopsida; Poales; Poaceae
Description: long non-coding RNA (OBRA_LNC002921)
Source: RNAcentral
AAUUUGAAAUAUUUUCUCUCUUAAUCUAGCAAGUUCAAUUGCUAUGAAUUUAGAGUUUAAAUUUGAAAGGGUUUUAGGGGGUCAUUUAAUUACAGCUAUAUUCACCCCCUCUAUAGACUUAGUUGAUCCCACAUAUUGAAUAUGAAAUACUAAAAUAAUGAAUAAGAGUUUAAUUUAUCAAUAUACAUAUUCCGAGCAUUGAUAUUGUGGGGGUGAGGAACCCGAAUGGUGUUGUUAAGGGGAAGAUAUGCUCUUUUGACAAAAAGUGGAUUGACAUGUUAGAGUCUAAACAGUUAUAUUACAUAAGUCUUUUAAUACUUACAUUGCACUACAUUGGUAUAGACAAUUUGAUUAACGGUUUUAUUUUUUUCAAAUUUUCAAAAAGCAUUAUGAACCUGACAAAAGAUAACUCACUGGAAACCUUCUGCUGAACAAGAAUUAUCUAAGAAGUUGGGUAAUAAAACGAGCACUCUCUAAACUGAGACCAAAGAAAUGUUGAAAGCAAAAGUCCCUAAAGUCAUUCUACAAGACAACAUUUCGUUAAUAAGAAAACUAGUUUCAAAUAUAAGAUCGCUGUGAGACACUCUGAAGAAGAAGAAAAGAGUAGUAGGUGAAACAACAUAAUAUUAUAAGAUCGCUGUGAGCCAUCCCUAGAGCGCCACCACGCUAACGCCAUGACUGUUGGACCCUCUCAUCGGCCACCUUGGGCCACCAUGGAUGAAGCCACUGCGCCAUCCAUCUGGCCUCAUUACUUUCUUCAAGGCAUCUCAAGAAUCAUGGUCGAAAACGCAACCUAUGCAGAGAACGAAACCUCCGUCCCCAACUCCAGUGGAGAGCCGCCGUCCGUCGUAGCCUCGUAGGUACUAAAAAUUAGCGCGCUUAGG